This 460-nucleotide ribosomal RNA is filed under the name uncultured bacterium. RNAcentral's name for it is "partial 16S ribosomal RNA". It matches the Rfam family "Bacterial small subunit ribosomal RNA", at positions 338 to 795 of the family's 1533-position model. The record is from RNAcentral.
CCUACGGGCGGCAGCAGUGAGGAAUAUUGGUCAAUGGGCGCUAGCCUGAACCAGCCAAGUAGCGUGAAGGAUGACUGCCCUAUGGGUUGUAAACUUCUUUUAUAUGGGAAUAAAGUGCAGUAUGUAUACUGCUUUGCAUGUACCUUAUGAAUAAGGAUCGGCUAACUCCGUGCCAGCAGCCGCGGUAAUACGGAGGAUCCGAGCGUUAUCCGGAUUUAUUGGGUUUAAAGGGAGCGUAGGCGGGUUGUUAAGUCAGUUGUGAAAGUUUGCGGCUCAACCGUAAAAUUGCAGUUGAUACUGGCAUCGUGGAGUACAGUAGAGGUAGGCGGAAUUCGUGGUGUAGCGGGGAAAUGCUUAGAUAUCACGAAGAACUCCGAUUGCGAGGGCAGCCUGAUGGACUGUAACUGACGCUGAUGCUCGAAAGUGUGGGUAUAAAACAGGAUUAGAUACCCGUGUAGUC